RNAcentral lists this ribosomal RNA (491 nucleotides) under uncultured bacterium. RNAcentral's name for it is "partial 16S ribosomal RNA". It matches the Rfam family "Bacterial small subunit ribosomal RNA", at positions 29 to 507 of the family's 1533-position model. The record is from RNAcentral.
AGUGAACGCUGGCGGUAGGCCUAACACAUGCAAGUCGAACGGCAGCACAGUAAGAGCUUGCUCUUACGGGUGGCGAGUGGCGGACGGGUGAGGAAUACAUCGAAUCUACUUUUUCGUGGGGGAUAACGUAGGGAAACUUACGCUAAUACCGCAUACGACCUACGGGUGAAAGCAGGGGAUCUUCGGACCUUGCGCGAUUGAAUGAGCCGAUGUCGGAUUAGCUAGUUGGCGGGGUAAAGGCCCACCAAGGCGACGAUCCGUAGCUGGUCUGAGAGGAUGAUCAGCCACACUGGAACUGAGACACGGUCCAGACUCCUACGGGAGGCAGCAGUGGGGAAUAUUGGACAAUGGGCGCAAGCCUGAUCCAGCCAUACCGCGUGGGUGAAGAAGGCCUUCGGGUUGUAAAGCCCUUUUGUUGGGAAAGAAAAGCAGCAGGUUAAUACCCCGCUGUUCUGACGGUACCCAAAGAAUAAGCACCGGCUAACUUCGUG